This 309-nucleotide ribosomal RNA is filed under the name uncultured archaeon. Its description in RNAcentral is "bacterial SSU rRNA". It matches the Rfam family "Archaeal small subunit ribosomal RNA", at positions 526 to 834 of the family's 1478-position model. The record is from RNAcentral.
CGGCCGGGCAAGUCCGUCGGGAAAUCCACGCGCUCAACGCGUGGACGGCCGGCGGAAACUGCCCGGCUCGGGGCCGGAAGACCCAGAGGGUACGUCCGGGGUAGGAGUGAAAUCCCGUAAUCCCGAACGGACCGCCGAUGGCGAAAGCACUCUGGGAAGACGGACCCGACGGUGAGGGACGAAAGCUGGGGUCUCGAACCGGAUUAGAUACCCGGGUAGUCCCAGCCGUAAACGAUGCUCGCUAGGUGUGGCCCCGACUACGAGUCGGUGCUGUGCCGCAGGGAAGCCGUUAAGCGAGCCGCCUGGGAA